RNAcentral lists this transfer RNA (65 nucleotides) under Ceriodaphnia cornuta. RNAcentral describes it as "tRNA-Ala". It matches the Rfam family "tRNA". From Rfam's summary of the family: Transfer RNA (tRNA) molecules are approximately 80 nucleotides in length. Their secondary structure includes four short double-helical elements and three loops (D, anti-codon, and T loops). Lineage: Eukaryota; Metazoa; Arthropoda; Branchiopoda; Diplostraca; Daphniidae. The record is from RNAcentral.
GGGGAUGUAGUUAACUAUAACAUUUGAUUUGCAUUCAAAAAGUACUUAUAUAUGAGUCUUCCUCA